CAUUCUGCAAGAGAAAAAAGAGAAAAUUAAAACAAGUCAUUCGGAGUUUAGAAAUCUUUAUGCUGUUGUUUAUGUUUGAGGUACACUAGUUUGGUUUCUCGAUACCUUUAAUCAUAGAAUCUGGAUAAAAGCUAGAGAGAGAAGGCCCAAAGUUCUCGAAUGACAGAUGGUCAUAAAUUCAGGCUUUGAAUACAUAUUUAAGAUGCAAGAUUGCUCCAUGUAACAAUUCACCGUUGAAUGCAGUUGCUGCACUCCUAUCUAACGGCGCCACUAAAUAAAAAAUUUAAAUGGGACCAAUAAAGCCUCUAAAACGCAAUAUGCUUUUUCAACCAAGUAAGAAAAGACAAAAGUCGGGCGAUGACGACUUAUAUAAUACCCUUCAUUUACCCUUUAAGUAUUAAUGGGGUGAUGUCAUUGAAUGUAGGUGUUCAGAUUGGUAAAGAUUAAUCCGUACCAAAUUUCAUGGUUAUCUAAGCGAUAAUCGGGCGAAUUUUAUAGUUGUUUAAAUUAAAUUAAACAAAUUAAAAGGAUUAAAAAGUUGGAUACCCACCACCUCGGGUAUAUAUGUAACCACCUUUCGUCACAAUCUGGUGAAAAUGCAUAGUUUAUGCCCCCAUAGCAGCUAAAUCGAAAUAUGGUCCAAUUUGGACUAAAUUCGGCGUGGAAAUUGAGUGGUCUAGUAAAUACAAGUCAUUGUUAAAAUUGUAGAACAAAAAUAUCGGUCUUUUUGGUAGCUAUAUCCAAAUAUAUACCGAUUUUAACCAUAUACGACACGGAUGUUCAAAUGCCGAACACAACUAACUGUCCCAAAUUUCGGCGAAAUCAGACAUAAAUGCGCCUUUUAUUUGCCCAAAACCUUGAAUCGAGAGAUCGGUCUAUAUGGCAGCUAUAUUCAAAACUGGACCGAUCUUUAUAGGGUCGGAAAUGGAUAUUUCGAUGUGUUGCAAACGGAAUGACAACAUGAAUAUAUCCUAAUCCUUCGGUGGUGGGUGUAAAAUUGAGUUAAAGAAUUUUUGAACCAAAAAUAAAAUAAUAAUAAAUCCAUUUCCAUUUUAUAGCUCUUUUAAUGUUGUGGUCCGCCCAGACCACUCCGCUCAACAACGUAAAAAAAAAUUUUCACCCAUCGUAGGUUUAAAAACCAUUUGUCAUAAUACAGUGAAAAACGCAUCAUCAAUGAACCCAUAGCAGCUAUAUCUAAAUAUAGACCGAUCUUCACCAUAUUCAAGAAGGCUAUGUAAGGGUCAAACACAACUCGUUGUACCACAUUCAUCGGUUAAAAAAUGCACCUUUGAUGGGCCGAAGAACUUUAAUCGGGAGAUCGUUAUAUGUAUAUAACAGCUAUAUCCAAAUAUAGACCGAUCUGAACCAUAUUGAACACGAAUGUCGAGGAGCCUAAUACAGUCCACUGUGUCACAUUCCAGCGAAAUCGAGUAAUAAACAUUCUUUUAUUGUCACAAGAACAUAAGUCGGGAAAUCGGUAUAUAUGACAGCUAUAUCCAAAUAUAGACCGAUCUUGACCAUACUCGGUACGAAUGGAAAUAACGCAACUCAAUAUGUACAAUUUCAGAAAAAUCGGUUAAUAAAUUCAUCUUUUAUAGGUCUAAAUCUGGUCAAGAGGCCUAACACAACUCACUGUCCUAAAUUUCAGCGAAAUCGGAUAAUAAAUGUAGCUUUAAUGGGCCAAAGACUCUAAAUUGGCAGACCCAUCCUUCGGUGGGAGUAUAACAAUUUAUUCUCAAAAAAGUAGCAAAUGACUCGCGGGGGUACCAUGGGACUUUCGAUGUUUAAAAAGUAUCAAAAAUAAUACUAAGUAUGGACAAAUUAUCAUCCCUGCAUAAGAAUUGUUUAUAUAGUCCGUCGAUACAUGUCAUGGCUAGGGUUGCCAGUACUUUUCCGUCCCUUGUCCCAAUUUCAAGCGAAUAUCCCGCUUGAAGGCACGUAUAUAAAAUUUUUGAAGUUGUAAAAAAUGGAUAGCGAUAUAGGGUCUGUUUUUUAGCAUUAUGCAUUCAGUGCAAGUCAGAUGUACGGAAAAGAUAACCAUUGUCAAGUUGGAUUGGAUAGAUUGUUAUCGUUAUCAUACAAUAACAGUCAAUAACACGUGAUUUGAACCGUAAAUGCAAAUUUUUCUGAUGUUCUCGCCAGUAUUCGAACCCAAGCGCUCAGCGUCAUAGGCGGACAUCUGCGCUACGGUCGCCACCACUGUACCAUUUUGUACUGUAUUGUAUAAAAACAGGGACAUAAUAAUCAAAUGGUACUGUUAGAACUGAUAGAAUUCUGAUAGAAUUUCAGUGCAAAGUUAGUUAUCGAUAUCAUGCGAUUACACAUAAUAACCGGUUAAUCGUAAUUUCCACUAUAUAUUACUGAAACAAAAUAAAGCAAGUAGUACAUUAUACCCACUUACGUUUUCUAGAUGUUUAUCAAAAAUGACUAUGAAUGAAAUACAGGUAAAAACAAAAUUUUGAGCAGAAAAUUACUCCCCAAAAAUCCCUAAUUUUUUCUCAGAUCCCCCAUCGAAUUUCCAUGCCCCCAAGUCAAAAAUGUAGUCCCCAUUUUCGAAUGAGUCAUCAUGACGACUCAUUAGUUAUUAUUCAAAAACGCGUACGCGUGUACGAGCAUUAGAGCAUUUUGUCUAUACCUGUUUUUUAACUCAUAAAACAGUAAUCCUGACGAUUCAUGAGUUACUCUUCAAAAACGCGUACACGCAAUUUUAAAACCUUUUGGGUAUGCCUCAACGUAACUGUUAAAAAUUCUUGCUAUAGGCAGAAAAAUUAUAAAAUUGUCAUUAAAGUUUUGGCAGCGAAAGCGAAUGGUCAUCAUAAAAAAGUGAUUUUAAAAGGUCAUGUUAAUGCAGAGUCUUAGAGGUAUGGUGGCAUUAAAUAAGUUGAUAAUAGUAUAUAUUAAUAUAUUUUGUAUUGCAUUAACUCCUUUCAGAAAUGUAUUUUUCCGAAAAUAUGCCACCAAGCGAGAGUCCCGGAGUUCACUAUCAACAAUUGCAUAAUAUUAAUCCAGACGUAUUAACUUGUCCAAACCGCCCACAACCGACCUAAGCGACAAAAUAGAAGCCAACAAAAAUGAGUUAACGAAAUCCAUCAAAGGUCAACUGGAUGCUCUCAAAGCUAAUAUGGUCAUAUUGACAGAAGAAGUGGUGAUAUUAUGAAAUGAAGUCCGCAAUUUAAGGGCCGAUUCAGUAAUGAUACCACAGAAAAAUUAUAAGGUGUCCAAUAGCCUGUUGACUUUAAAUCUAUAAUUGACAAAAAUAAUAGAUUUAUAGUCGGAAUUGUAACGUCUUUUCUAAAUGCUCGGAGGAGAUGACUUUCCCACUUUUAUAAGAGUUAUGGUAAAAAACUAUUAUGUGAUGACUUGGAAAUGGAGUUCACGUGGAGGGGAAUAAAGAACAAACCAAGCAUCUAAAAAUGUUUCUUCAUUACAGUUAUUAAAGGAACGUAUUUUAUAUUUAUAAAAA
Molecule: long non-coding RNA, 3463 nt
Organism: Stomoxys calcitrans (stable fly)
Lineage: Eukaryota; Metazoa; Arthropoda; Insecta; Diptera; Muscidae
Exons: 3
Source: RefSeq, a predicted model, not a curated record